UAUAAGAUGGCGGCGUCUAUAGUUUCUUCCAUCAUUUUCUUUCUUCUUAUUAUCAUACUCUCACUUUUUGUAGAUGGACACGUUUUUGCUGCCCAAUAUUAGCAAGAAGAACACUCCACUUCAACCAGAAACUCUGCUUUCUGCGUUUGGGUCUGUCAAAACCGAAGACAAGUCAUUGGGCCUUUCAACAAAUAUCAAGCCCAUGAAGCCCAACGUAAACAACUCUUCUUCACUCUGCAACGGUAACAUUUAUCCUCAGUCAAACUUAUCUCCGGCUCCAGCUCACCUCCGUACGGGUCACACAGCUCAUCAGAUACAAAGACACAACCGAUUUGAUUCGCUUUGUUCCCCUGUCGUCUUAUAUACGUAGUGACGUGUAACCUAGGAGCCUCUCUUUUGGGUGUUGUUAUAUAAGGGGAAAGGGGAUUUUCAUACCCGUACUAUCUGCACUGUGGAUUUUCAUAACUGAACAAUUUCGUAGGGUAUUUUACAAUCUAAACUUCAAUAAAAUUUGAAUCUCAUACAUAUACUUGAUACAACGUGCAAAAAUCAGAGUCAAUUUAAUGGGUGUUAGUCAACUCCAUUACGGUGCUGAGUCAUCGUACACCUGUACGCUGACGUGUAUCAAAACGACGUCGUUUUCAUACCCGUACUAUCUGC
RNAcentral lists this long non-coding RNA (660 nucleotides) under Arabidopsis lyrata. RNAcentral describes it as "long non-coding RNA (ALYR_LNC003065)". Lineage: Eukaryota; Viridiplantae; Streptophyta; Magnoliopsida; Brassicales; Brassicaceae. The record is from RNAcentral.